Molecule: long non-coding RNA, 1463 nt
Organism: Canis lupus familiaris (dog)
Lineage: Eukaryota; Metazoa; Chordata; Mammalia; Carnivora; Canidae
Exons: 5
Source: RefSeq, a predicted model, not a curated record
UAUAAACCUCCAUUAGCACAGCCUAGGCCGGCAGCCGUCAGAAACGUCUGCUGAGGAAGACACUGCAAAGUGUCAGCAAGGGCGUUUGGGAAUUAAUUUUACCCUAGAGUAGCUGUGCAGGUCUGUUUAGCUCCCACCUCUACAGCUAUGAACACCAGAUAACACUAGAAUCAGCCCGAUGCCUUGAAUGCUUCAUAUGAGGGGGUUUUCGAAAUCUAGCCACAAACAUAUGACCAGAUUUGAAAAGAUUAUGAGAGAUCAGGAAGGAUUCUAUUCUGACCAAGCCCGACACAGGAGAAAGAUUGUGCUGACUAUGGCAUGAGGAUUGACCAGAAGUGAACAGAAAUGGAAGCAGAAAGCCAUGCAUGAAGGCCGUUGCACCAAUCCAGGACAAAGAGAAAGGGGAAGCUUUAAUUGGGCAGGAUAUGCCCAUUGAUAUGAUGUGGCUGGCAAAGGAGAAAGAGACAUUAAGUUUUCUGUGGUUCAUGGUCCUGUUUUUCCAUCUGCAAAGCCAGCAGUGAAACAUCUUCAAAUAUCCUCUCCUGCCACCUUCUUCUUCUGAGGAUUUUUGUGACUACCCAGGGCCCAUGCCAUUAAUCCAGAAUGCAAGAGAACUCAGGCUCUGGGGUAAAGAGAAAAAGAAGAAUCCUAGAGUUACGGAGCCUGGCUAACCCCUUUUCUGUGAAGAUCUGUGUGCUCUUUUGUGCGGUAAUGAAGAGAUGGAAAGAAAAGAAUUGUCCCCACAUGAUCCACCACUAGGCCAGCCAAAAGGACCUCUGACUCUCGGAGCGAAGCGCACCCCACUGCAGGCUCAUUCCCCUCGCUUCUCCGCUGCCAGACGACGCUCUCAGAGAAUGGCUCUGUCCCCGCAACGAUUGUCCAUGAUUUGUGGGUCAGGAGCUGCCACGGGAAAAGUAUCUAAUUCCACUUUCACACACUUGUGGUGUCAGCAACCCAAAUACAGAAAGCUAUUUUGGCCACACUUUAACUACUCAACUUAAAGGCAACGGCACAGAAAAAGAAGCCCACCUGUUGAAACCAAUGAAGAAAUCUCCCAAGUCAUUUCUGAGCUUAAUCAUAUUGAAUUCACCUCGCCUAACAUCCUAUAAGAUCUUGAUCAUCUUAUAACUGGAAGUUUGUACCCUUUGACUGUUGAAGGAAGUCAUUGAGAGGAUAUGACCACUGGUAACGGACAUGGGUAACUGGAGGCUCUUUACCUCUCCCCAUCCUUGGAAUGUACAUUCUGCCCACAGUUCCCACACACUGACCAUUUCCAAGGUCACAGCCUUGAGAGAGCAAUGUGUUGCUGAGACCAUCUGGACAGUGUUUCUGACUGAACCUUGUUAAGGCCUCUAUGUAAAUUUUUCAGAUUCUAGUGGGCUGGUGUGGAGAUCUACUCGUCUUGUAGCCAUCCAACACAAGCCUCGUGUGUAAGUUCCCUUGCUUAAUAAAACUGCCACCUA